UACGUAGGGUGCGAGCGUUGUCCGGAAUUAUUGGGCGUAAAGAGCUCGUAGGCGGUUUGUUGCGUCUAUCGUGAAAACCUGCAGCUUAACUGUGGGCUUGCGGGCGAUACGGGCAGGCUAGAGUUCGGUAGGGGAGACUGGAAUUCCUGGUGUAGCGGUGAAAUGCGCAGAUAUCAGGAGGAACACCGGUGGCGAAGGCGGGUCUCUGGGCCGAUACUGACGCUGAGGAGCGAAAGCGUGGGGAGCGAACAGG
This 253-nucleotide ribosomal RNA is filed under the name uncultured bacterium. RNAcentral's name for it is "partial 16S ribosomal RNA". It matches the Rfam family "Bacterial small subunit ribosomal RNA", at positions 524 to 776 of the family's 1533-position model. The record is from RNAcentral.